UGCCAGCCGCCGCGGUAAUACGGAAGGGGCUAGCGUUGUUCGGAUUUACUGGGCGUAAAGCGCGCGUAGGCGGCGGACCAAGUUAGGCGUGAAAGCCCUGGGCUCAACCCGGGAACUGCGCUUAAGACUGGUUUGCUUGAGUCCGGGAGAGGGUGGUGGAACUCCCAGUGUAGAGGUGAAAUUCGUAGAUAUCAGGAGGAACACCGAUGGCGAAGGCGGCUUUCUGGACCGAUACUGACGCUGAGACGCGAAAGCGUGGGGAGCAAACAGGAUUAGAUA
This 279-nucleotide ribosomal RNA is filed under the name uncultured bacterium. RNAcentral describes it as "partial 16S ribosomal RNA". It matches the Rfam family "Bacterial small subunit ribosomal RNA", at positions 506 to 784 of the family's 1533-position model. The record is from RNAcentral.